Molecule: ribosomal RNA, 511 nt
Filed under: uncultured bacterium
Lineage: Bacteria
Description: bacterial SSU rRNA
Rfam family: Bacterial small subunit ribosomal RNA
Source: RNAcentral
GAUGAACGCUAGCGACAGGCUUAACACAUGCAAGUCGAGGGGCAGCAUAAAAAUCAGCUUGCUGAUUUUGGUGGCGACCGGCGCACGGGUGAGUAACGCGUAUGCAACCUACCUAUCAGAGGGGGAUAGCCCAUUGAAAGAUGGAUUAAUACCGCAUAAAACAGGGGUCCCGCAUGGGGCUAUUUGUUAAAGAUUUAUUGCUGAUAGAUGGGCAUGCGUUCCAUUAGUUAGUUGGUAAGGUAACGGCUUACCAAGACAUCGAUGGAUAGGGGUUCUGAGAGGAAGGUCCCCCACACUGGUACUGAGACACGGACCAGACUCCUACGGGAGGCAGCAGUGAGGAAUAUUGGUCAAUGGGCGAGAGCCUGAACCAGCCAAGUCGCGUGAAGGAUGACUGCCCUAUGGGUUGUAAACUUCUUUUAUUGGGGAAUAAAAAGGGCCACGUGUGGCUUAUUGCAUGUACCUAAUGAAUAAGCAUCGGCUAACUCCGUGCCAGCCGCCGCCGUAAAAC